Molecule: ribosomal RNA, 238 nt
Filed under: uncultured bacterium
Lineage: Bacteria
Description: partial 16S ribosomal RNA
Rfam family: Bacterial small subunit ribosomal RNA
Source: RNAcentral
UGAGUAACCUGCCCUUAACUCUGGGAUAAGCCUGGGAAACUGGGUCUAAUACCGGAUAUGACUCCUCAUCGCAUGGGUGGGGGGUGGAAAGCUUUAUUGUUGGUUUUGGAUGGACUCGCGGCCUAUCAGCUUGUUGGUGAGGUAAUAGCUCACCAAGGCGAUGGACGGGUAGCCGGCCUGAGAGGGUGACCGGCCACACGUGGGACUGAGACACGGCCCAAACUCCGUACGGGAGCAG